Bacillus rossius redtenbacheri is the source of this 2703-nucleotide RNA transcript. It is a transcript of the gene named 1,5-anhydro-D-fructose reductase-like, with no coding region annotated. The record is from RefSeq and is a predicted model, not a curated record. NCBI's taxonomy places the organism in Eukaryota, Metazoa, Arthropoda, Insecta, Phasmatodea, Bacillidae. The transcript is spliced from 7 exons.
UGCUGCGACAUGCCCGGUCGAAUGUUUGCUGUGUUGAGCGCAUAGAAAAAAGUGUUGAGCGAGGUCGGGAGAAUAUGAAUAACAUGUCGCUGUUACUGUCUUCAGGCCACUGCAUGCCCGUCGUGGGUUUGGGAACUUGGCAGGCAAGUGCCGAGGUAAUCGAGACCAUAGUGUUGGAAGCCCUGCAGGCAGGCUACCGUCACAUCGACACUGCCUUCAACUACGGCAACGAGGCAGCCAUUGGAGCAGCGGUGCGCAGGUGGAUAUCAGCGGGUGGGCGCAGAGAGGACCUGUUCAUCACCACCAAGCUGCCCCACCUGGCCAACAGGUGUAGUGAUGUGGCACGCUACUUAGGCAUCUCGCUGCAAAGACUACAGCUGGACUAUGUGGAUCUGUACCUUGUGCACAUGCCCUUCGGCUUCAUGCCUGACCCUUGUGGCGAAGAACCUCUUGCACGCCCCGAUGGCAGCUACGUGUUGGAUUUGGACACGGACAUCAUUGCUGUCUGGAAGGCGAUGGAGCAGCAGGUGGACACCGGUAAGGCACGCUCCAUAGGUGUCUCCAACUAUAAUGUGUGUCAACUAACGAGGAUCCUGGAUGCUGCGCGCAUCCCUCCUGCUACCAACCAGGUAGAGCUGCAUGCCUACCUGCAGCAGCCCGAGUUGCGCCAGUUCUGCUCUCAGCACGGCGUGGUCGUGACCGCGUUCUGCCCGCUGGGGUCACCUGGCACCCGAGACCACUUCCGUCGCAAGUACAACUACAGACACGAGGCAUUUCCGGACAUCCUGGGGCGCCAGGAGGUGUCGUGCAUCGCUGAUAAACUUGGCAAGACACCUGCUCAGGUGCUGCUGCGUCACCUCAUCCAGUUGGGCGUGGCCAUCAUCCCCAAGAGCACCAACCCUGAGCGACUGCGAGCUAACCUGCAGGUGUUUGACUUCGAGCUGAGCGACAACGAGAUGAGCGUGCUCAACGCGCUGGACCACGGUGAGGCAGGCCGGAUCAUCCACUUCAGGUUCUGGAAGGGGUGAGCUCUCUGCAUUGGUGGACACUGCUCUAUUACUGCAGCCAUAAGCAGUAGUCUCUACUUCCUGGUUCCUCGUCCCUAUUGGGGUCACUGGAUACUACGAGGCGUAAUGAGAUGGCAUAACCCCGCUCAUUUGUUGAGGCUGGCAAGUCACCAGCCAGGAUCACUACACCACUCAACACUUUAAUGUACAUUGCUACCUUACAACAUAGUUUAGACAAAUCAGUAACACCAGCACUAUGAAUAUGGAGCAAAACAAAGGGUAGCAGAGUCCUAUGUUAUCAGCCGGAUGGUAGCAUCUCUAGAAAACUCGUGCCAAUGUUAGUCAUUGCUGUAGAAGCUCUCCAAUUUUCAAUGCAUUUGGUAUGUACAUAAUAUAGUAUUCUUAAUCAGCACGAGACAGUGUGGAUAUCAUCAAGUACAGACUGCUUAACAUCUGUCCACAUUAUAGGCAGUUUAUUCAUACACUUGUCAUCCUGACAUUCUCUGCUAUGAUGUUGGAGUGUCGGAUGACUGCUAAGGGCGCCAACUAGGCUAAUUGAAGAGCCCUGCAGGUCAGUUCACAGGUAGAGCUAGGACUCAACUAAGAGUGCGAUGUCAUCACUAUUGAGGGCUGAUCGCGCAUUGCCGGUGAUUUCGAGAUGUUAACUAUGGGCGCCACCACGUGGAAGGGCACGUGGACCCGGCGGAGUCUCUCACUCAGGGCGUGACGUAGCCCAAGUGGGGACGAGUUACCAGCCCUUUCUAUCCUAGCUACCCAGACCUGGCCCGCUCUAGGCGUCGGGCACGCCACACUCCUAGACUCACUCACCACGUGAUUAAAUAAGUACUCACUUUAUAUUUAUUCUCCAGAUUUAAUUUCACUAACACGUCUCUCUACACGCCCGUUACACGUUACACAUUACACGGUUAAAAAGCCUGAGGCACGAAUCGGUUUAGGUGAGGGCAUGGUCCACACACGUGGCCAUACUGCAAAGUAUACUUAUUACACGGUGAUGAAAAACUCGACUGAGACAAUUAAUUAAUUAAACAGCCCGCUGGCCGAGAGCUGCCCCGAGGAUGACGAACGAAAGCGAUUUAAAAAGAAUUAACGAUACAGAAAUUACUUGGUCAGUGAUGAACAAAGGUUGAGGUCCCCGGGGUGCUGGCGCGUCUGCUCUCGGUCAGUGAUGAAGAUGGACUGGGCUGAGCUCAUCGCUCGCAGGUGGCAACAUGGCGCCCUUCGCGCCAACACAAUUACCGUUACUGUAUUCUACGACUCCGUGCCCCGGCGAAAGUUGAGUAAAUUACAGAUAAACAUUAAAAAUAUAUAAAAAUUACUGACAAUGGAAAGUUUGUUACUAUUUACUUAUUUAAUGAUAAUUCAUAUAAAAGCAUUCCUAUCCUCGUCCAAGUCCGUGCCUGUUCGGGUCCGCCCGGGCAACGUCUAUAGUUAUUUAAGGUAACUUAUUUAAAUUAAAGAAACACAAGUAAACUACACAGCACUGGGGCGAAGAUGGAUGAAAACAACAAAAAGGCUUACAAUUAAUAUUAACAUAGCAAUUUUAGGGAUCGCCGCACUGCUUCUAAGCGCCCUCUUGCCGGGCUAGACACACACGCACACACGCACGCACGAGCGGGAGGUUUGAAUAUAGAUGGUGGUUGGGCGGUGUCGUAUCGGGCUCAAAGGGGCCGCAGGC